RNAcentral lists this ribosomal RNA (292 nucleotides) under uncultured bacterium. Its description in RNAcentral is "partial 16S ribosomal RNA". It matches the Rfam family "Bacterial small subunit ribosomal RNA", at positions 505 to 796 of the family's 1533-position model. The record is from RNAcentral.
GUGUCAGCAGCCGCGGUAAAACGUAGGACGCAAGCGUUAUCCGGAGUUACUGGGCGUAAAGCGCGGGCAGGCGGUCUUGCCAGUCUGAUGUGAAAUCUCUCAGCUCAACUGGGAGCAGCCAUUGGAAACUACAAGACUGGAGUCUGACAGAGGUAGGCGGAAUUCCGGGUGGAGUGGUGAAAUGCGUAGAGAUCCGGAGGAACACCAGAGGCGAAGGCGGCCUACUGGGUCAGUACUGACGCUGAGCCGCGAAAGCCAGGGGAGCGAACGGGAUUAGAUACCCGAGUAGUCC